UCACCACUCAAGCUCUGCUUGGUGUUGGGCCUCGUCCCUCGUGGAUGUGCCCGAAAAUCAGUGGCGGCACAGCUCGGCUUCAAGCGGUAUCGAUUUAUCUUCGCUUUGGAAGUCCGGUCCUGAGCCUGCCAGACAACCCCAUUUUCCAUCAA
Molecule: ribosomal RNA, 152 nt
Filed under: Acarospora stapfiana
Lineage: Eukaryota; Fungi; Ascomycota; Lecanoromycetes; Acarosporales; Acarosporaceae
Description: internal transcribed spacer2
Source: RNAcentral